GAGGNGCUUGCACCUUAUCUUAGCGGCGGACGGGUGAGUAAUGCUUAGGAAUCUGCCUAUUAGUGGGGGACAACAUUCCGAAAGGAAUGCUAAUACCGCAUACGUCCUACGGGAGAAAGCAGGGGAUCUUCGGACCUUGCGCUAAUAGAUGAGCCUAAGUCGGAUUAGCUAGUUGGUGGGGUAAAGGCCUACCAAGGCGACGAUCUGUAGCGGGUCUGAGAGGAUGAUCCGCCACACUGGGACUGAGACACGGCCCAGACUCCUACGGGAGGCAGCAGUGGGGAAUAUUGGACAGUGGGGGGAACCCUGAUCCAGCCAUGCCGCGUGUGUGAAGAAGGCCUUAUGGUUGUAAAGCACUUUAAGCGAGGAGGAGGCUACUGAGACUAAUACUCUUGGAUAGUGGACGUUACUCGCAGAAUAAGCACCGGCUAACUCUGUGCCAGCAGCCGCGGUAAUACAGAGGGUGCGAGCGUUAAUCGGAUUUACUGGGCGUAAAGCGUGCGUAGGCGGCUUUUUAAGUCGGAUGUGAAAUCCCNCGAGCUUAACUUGGGAAUUGCAUUCGAUACUGGGAAGCUAGAGUAUGGGAGAGGAUGGUAGAAUUCCAGGUGUAGCGGUGAAAUGCGUAGAGAUCUGGAGGAAUACCGAUGGCGAAGGCAGCCAUCUGGCCUAAUACUGACGCUGAGGUACGAAAGCAUGGGGAGCAAACAGGAUUAGAU
Molecule: ribosomal RNA, 716 nt
Filed under: uncultured Acinetobacter sp.
Lineage: Bacteria; Pseudomonadati; Pseudomonadota; Gammaproteobacteria; Moraxellales; Moraxellaceae
Description: bacterial SSU rRNA
Rfam family: Bacterial small subunit ribosomal RNA
Source: RNAcentral